CCCCCCCUUAAAAGAUUUAGAUGCACUAUUGUAAAGUGGUUGUUCCACUGGAUAUUAUAGGUGAAUGCACCAAUUUGUAAGUCGCUCUGGAUAAGAGCGUCUGCUAAAUGACUAAAAUGUAAAUGUAAAAUGUAAACAGAGAGGGAGAUGAAGAAGAGGUAGAAACAGAGGGGGAGAUGAAGAAGAGGUAGAAACAGAGAGGGGGAGAUGAAGAAGAGGUAGAAACAGAGGGGGAGAUGAAGAAGAGGUAGAAACAGAGGGGGAGAUGAAGUAGAAGAGGUAGAAACAGAGGGAGAUGAAGUAGAAGAGGUAGAAACAGAGAGGGGGAGAUGAAGAAGAGGUAGAAACAGAGGGGGAGAUGAAGUAGAAGAGGUAGAAACAGAGAGGGGGAGAUGAAGAAGAGGUAGAAACAGAGGGAGAUGAAGAAGAGGUAGAAACAGAGAGGGAGAUGAAGUAGAAGAGGUAGAAACAGAGGGGGAGAUGAAGAAGAGGUAGAAACAGAGAGGGAGAUGAAGUAGAAGAGGUAGAAACAGAGGGGGAGAUGAAGAAGAGGUAGAAACAGAGGGGGAGAUGAAGUAGAAGAGGUAGAAACAGAGAGGGGGAGAUGAAGUAGAAGAGGUAGAAACAGAGAGGUGCGAGUUAAGAGGUUUCAAGUAGUGUUAGCAGCCCUGAGAAAAAACACAUUAAAGCCACCUCUUUAGAUUCUGGCAUGCACAUCCCAGAGAGCCAUCCCAGUAAGCUAAAUUAUGUUGAAAAUACAUAUUUUUCAGACGUUGAAGUUAGGUUCAUUUUAGGUUCUGAAUGAAAGUUAAAAAGACAAUUUUGAUUGCAAAAUAUAUAUUUUUUUAUUGUUAUUUCUCCCAUCUGUCACAUGCACUUAUUUUAACUUUUUCCAAAAGCUUUACAACUGGCAGCUAGUGAUGG
RNAcentral lists this long non-coding RNA (924 nucleotides) under Salmo salar (Atlantic salmon). Its description in RNAcentral is "lncRNA (ENSSSAG00000088665.1, ENSSSAG00000117553.1)". The stretch from base 64 to 117 matches the Rfam family "UnaL2 LINE 3' element". The record is from RNAcentral. Lineage: Eukaryota; Metazoa; Chordata; Actinopteri; Salmoniformes; Salmonidae.